GGAGUUGUAGUUCAAUGGUAGAACGAUACCCUUUUAAGGUAUGUGUUGCUGGUUCAAAUCCAUCCAACUUCA
RNAcentral lists this transfer RNA (72 nucleotides) under Capsaspora owczarzaki. Its description in RNAcentral is "tRNA-Lys". It matches the Rfam family "tRNA". Rfam says of the family: Transfer RNA (tRNA) molecules are approximately 80 nucleotides in length. Their secondary structure includes four short double-helical elements and three loops (D, anti-codon, and T loops). Lineage: Eukaryota; Filasterea; Ministeriida; Capsasporidae. The record is from RNAcentral.